This 274-nucleotide ribosomal RNA is filed under the name uncultured bacterium. RNAcentral's name for it is "partial 16S ribosomal RNA". It matches the Rfam family "Bacterial small subunit ribosomal RNA", at positions 523 to 796 of the family's 1533-position model. The record is from RNAcentral.
AUACGGAGGGUGCAAGCGUUAUUCGGAAUCACUGGGCGUAAAGGACGCGUAGGCGGGUUAGCAAGUCAGAUGUGAAAUCCUACAGCUUAACUGUAGAACUGCAUUUGAAACUGCUAACCUAGAGUAUGGGUGGGGGAGAUGGAAUUAGUGGUGUAGGGGUAAAAUCCGUAGAUAUCACUAGGAAUACCGAAAGCGAAGGCGAUCUCCUGGAACAUAACUGACGCUAAGGCGUGAAAGCGUGGGGAGCAAACAGGAUUAGAAACCCUAGUAGUCC